UACGGGGGGAGCAAGCGUUGUUCGGAUUUACUGGGCGUAAAGGGCGCGUAGGCGGCCUUCUAAGUCGAACGUGAAAUCCCCGGGCUCAACCCGGGAACUGCGUCCGAUACUGGAAGGCUUGAAUCCGGGAGAGGGAUGCGGAAUUCCAGGUGUAGCGGUGAAAUGCGUAGAUAUCUGGAGGAACACCGGUGGCGAAGGCGGCAUCCUGGACCGGCAUUGACGCUGAGGCGCGAAAGCCAGGGGAGCAAACGGG
Molecule: ribosomal RNA, 253 nt
Filed under: uncultured bacterium
Lineage: Bacteria
Description: partial 16S ribosomal RNA
Rfam family: Bacterial small subunit ribosomal RNA
Source: RNAcentral